Molecule: ribosomal RNA, 652 nt
Filed under: uncultured bacterium
Lineage: Bacteria
Description: bacterial SSU rRNA
Rfam family: Bacterial small subunit ribosomal RNA
Source: RNAcentral
GACGAACGCUGGCGGCGUGCCUAACACAUGCAAGUCGAGCGGAGGUAUGAUGUAGUUUACUACUGAGUACUUUAGCGGCGGACGGGUGAGUAACACGUGGGCAACCUGCCUCAAAGAGGGGGAUAACACCGAGAAAUCGGUGCUAAUACCGCAUAACAUCAGCACACCACCUGGUGAGCUGAUCAAAGGAGUAAUCCGCUUUGAGAUGGGCCCGCGGCUGAUUAGCUAGUUGGUGAGGUAAUGGCUCACCAAGGCGACGAUCAGUAGCCGACCUGAGAGGGUGACCGGCCACACUGGAACUGAGACACGGUCCAGACUCCUACGGGAGGCAGCAGUGGGGAAUAUUGCGCAAUGGGGGAAACCCUGACGCAGCAACGCCGCGUGGAGGAAGAAGGUCUUCGGAUUGUAAACUCCUGUCUUCAGGGACGAAUAAUGACGGUACCUGAGGAGGAAGCCACGGCUAACUACGUGCCAGCAGCCGCGGUAAUACGUAGGUGGCGAGCGUUGUCCGGAAUUAUUGGGCGUAAAGGGCGCGUAGGCGGCUCUUUAAGUCAGAUGUGAAAACCCAGGGCUUAACUCUGGGAGUGCAUUUGAAACUGAAGGGCUUGAGUGCAGGAGAGGUAAGUGGAAUUCCUAGUGACGGGAAAUCGUA